Non-coding RNA from Nerophis lumbriciformis (worm pipefish), 811 nucleotides. The record is from RefSeq and is a predicted model, not a curated record. NCBI's taxonomy places the organism in Eukaryota, Metazoa, Chordata, Actinopteri, Syngnathiformes, Syngnathidae.
CUCAAACAAGGUUAAGAACCACUGUUCUAGACGUCCAUUGCGUUUCUACUCGUAUUGAGUCUUCAUUCAUCACUCCAUUGAAAUUCUUACAAUAAAACUAAAACAAUUCAUACUUACUAAACCGUCUCAUGUGUGAUGUCUUUAGGAGUGUUAUCAAGCAAUAUUUGUACGUGCUCUCGUAAUGUAUUCAAGCUAGCGUUGUUAACACUAGCUAAUAUGCCAACACGUUUACGAGUGUAUGUGUUCGUAUUAUUAACUUACAAUGGCAUUAUUUUUGCAUCGUUUCAGUUUCACAAAUUCACCAAAACGUCACCAUGGAGAGUGUGUUCAGCUGGUUGGAGAGCUAGCUUCCGCAGCUAGUGGGUCCAUGACGAUGACUUCGGUGUUGUUUGAUCAGCUGUUUUACUGCCGUGUGACAAGCACCGUUUGGAAACAAUUAAGUACUCUACACAGCACCCAGCAUUGUCCCACCCACACAACCAUCUGAUUGGUUACACGCAGAGCGGUAACAGCCAAUCAGCAGUGCACAUUCAGAGCGGUAACAGCCGUUUAGCAGGGUCAUGUUCUCCAGGACCAUCAACCUGGGUCCGUGCCAGUACACUUCUUUCCACACCUCUGAUGGGGAAAUGCGAUGCUGUCUUGAGGGGAAUGUUUUUGGAACGGUUGUCUUAAGGUUUCCUGAAGUUCAGGACUCGACUGGGCAGCUUUUGUGGCGAAAUGACGUAACGUGACGAGAAGCUGCUGAUGGUGUGUUUGACGGAGAAGCAGCUCAUAGAAGUCCACUCUCUUAAGGUAAAUGCGGUAUGUUGUG